GGGUCAAUGAUGAGAACUCAUAUGGUCUCGAAGACAGAUGAUGACCCAAAAAUUACGUUCAAUAGGAUUACACUGAGGCCC
Molecule: small nucleolar RNA, 81 nt
Filed under: Panthera leo (lion)
Lineage: Eukaryota; Metazoa; Chordata; Mammalia; Carnivora; Felidae
Description: Small nucleolar RNA SNORD115 (ENSPLOG00000003595.1)
Rfam family: Small nucleolar RNA SNORD115
About the family: HBII-52 is a member of the C/D class of snoRNAs, which contain the C (UGAUGA) and D (CUGA) box motifs.
Source: Rfam by way of RNAcentral